This 497-nucleotide ribosomal RNA is filed under the name uncultured bacterium. Its description in RNAcentral is "partial 16S ribosomal RNA". It matches the Rfam family "Bacterial small subunit ribosomal RNA", at positions 28 to 507 of the family's 1533-position model. The record is from RNAcentral.
GAUGAACGCUGGCGGCGUGCCUAAUACAUGCAAGUCGAGCGAACAGAUGAGGAUUUUGCUCGUCUGACGUUAGCGGCGGACGGGUGAGUAACACGUGUAUAACCUACCUAUAAGACUGGGAUAACUUCGGGAAACCGGAGCUAAUACCGGAUAAUAUAUUGAACCGCGGGGUUCAAUAGUGAAAGACGGUUUUGCUGUCACUAAUAGAGGGAUCCGCGCUGCAUUAGCUAGUUGGUAAGGUAACGGCUUACCAAGGCUAGCAUGCGUAGCCGAACUGAGAGGGUGGUCGGCCACACUGGAAGUGAGCCACGGUCCCGACUCCUACGGGAGGCAGCAGUAGGGAACCUUAGGCAAUGGGCGAAAGCCUGGCGGAGCAACGGCGAGUGAGUGAUGAAGGUCUUCGGAUCGUAAAACUCUGUUAUUAGGGAAGAACAGAUGUGUAAGUAACUAUGCACGUAUUGACGGUACCUAAUAAGAAAGCCACGGCUAACUACGUG